CCUACGGGAGGCAGCAGUGGGGAAUUUUGGACAAUAGGCGAAAGCCUGAUCCAGCAAUGCCGCGUGAGUGAAGAAGGCCUUCGGGUUGUAAAGCUCUUUUGUCAGGGAAGAAACGGUGAGAGCUAAUAUCUCUUGCUAAUGACGGUACCUGAAGAAUAAGCACCGGCUAACUACGUGCCAGCAGCCGCGGUAAU
Molecule: ribosomal RNA, 194 nt
Filed under: uncultured bacterium
Lineage: Bacteria
Description: partial 16S ribosomal RNA
Rfam family: Bacterial small subunit ribosomal RNA
Source: RNAcentral